This 419-nucleotide ribosomal RNA is filed under the name uncultured bacterium. RNAcentral's name for it is "partial 16S ribosomal RNA". It matches the Rfam family "Bacterial small subunit ribosomal RNA", at positions 360 to 776 of the family's 1533-position model. The record is from RNAcentral.
AAUAUUGGGCAAUGGACGAAAGUCUGACCCAGCCAUGCCGCGUGGGGGAUGAAGGUCCUCUGGAUGGUAAACUUCUUUUAUCUGGGAAGAAACCCACGGUUUCCACUGUGGUUGACGGUACCAGCUGACUAAGCACCGGCUAACUCCGUGCCAGCAGCCGCGGUACUACGGUGGGUGCAAGCGUUAUCCGGAUUCACUGGGUUUUAAGGGUGCGGAGGCGGGGUGCCAAGUCCGUGGUGAAAUCUCUGAGCUUAACUCAGAAACUGCCGUGGAUACUGGUAAUCUUGAAUAUCGGGGAGGUGGGCGGAAUAUGUCAUGUAGCGGUGAAAUGCUUAGAUAUGACAUAGAACACCGAUAGCGAAGGCGGCUUACUACACGAUCAUUGACGCUGAGGCACGAAAGCGUGGGGAGCAAGCAGG